UUUUUGUUUUAAUAGGGACUAAUGUGGGAAGAAUGGCUAAUUUGUCACAGUGCUUAGUUACAACUGUUAAUGUGUGGCCUGCUGUUGGUGUACAUGUGGGUACAGGGUGUCUAUUUCCAAACAGAGUAUAAUAUCAAUACUGCUAAAUCUGCAUGUCCUCUGUGUGACUGAUAGAGCGUUGUUAUUUCAUUUUUUAAAGACAAAAAUGACAGAAAAAUAUAUAAUUCCAACAUAUUAAUGUAGAUAAUCUAGUUGGGAAUACUUUUGUCUCACUUUCCCUUUUAAUAUUCAUAAUUGACUCAUGUUUAGAAC
This 312-nucleotide long non-coding RNA is filed under the name Androctonus crassicauda. The record is from RNAcentral. Lineage: Eukaryota; Metazoa; Arthropoda; Arachnida; Scorpiones; Buthidae.